GUGCACUGCGGCCUGCGGGAGGGUUUUGGGCGGGCGGGCUCGGGGGUAGGGUUUCUACUUCUGCUUUUCUGGUAGGAGAUGAAGGCAAGUAGAGAUGCCUGAACCAUGGUCUUCAGAACGCGUGGUGCACAUCUCAGCUCAGCCACAGUCGGUAGCUCUUAGGGUUUUAAAGGUUAGGAGGGAAAUGAAGUUCGGGAUGACAACUAUCAAGAGCCAACUGAAUCUGUAAAGCAACACUUAGACGGCGGAGAUCUCUUCUCAUGAUCUGAUGGCAGUCAGAUGGUGGUUCAGUUUUUCUGUGGCGCGAAGCGGUUUUCCGUUUUUCUUGUUAUUCUUCCAAUUCAUUGUCUCCUGUAUUUUUUCGUUUCAGCGGUUUAAUUUGCUCACUGCCCCUUUUAAGCUGUUCUUAUGUAUAAGACAUUGCCUGUUGUAAUCCCAGAUAUGCCGUCAUUGAGAAAUUACCCCGUUUUCCAAUAUAAAAUGAGUUCAGAUUUCCACCUUUGUCUUCAAUUCAUGUUGAUUUCUACCAUUUUAUCCUCAAAUUAUGCAUCUGCGUUUCGGAGGGGGAGCCAAUUAUUUCGCUGUAUAAGCGUUAUCAAUUUUUCAAAAAACACUAGGCGC
Molecule: long non-coding RNA, 621 nt
Filed under: Zea mays
Lineage: Eukaryota; Viridiplantae; Streptophyta; Magnoliopsida; Poales; Poaceae
Description: drought responsive lncRNA
Source: RNAcentral